CUAGCGAGAGGGUGUUCUCCACAGCAGGAGACAUUGUUAGUGCCAGCAGAUCUGCCCUUUCGGCAAGCAAUGUGGACAAGUUAAUUUUUCUUUAAAAAAACAUGAAAAUACAAUGACAAGUUUGCAUUGCAAUAUUAGAACGCAUAAAACCCAACUUUAUUUCUUCUAAGUUGCAGGUGUUCAUUGUUUAGAAGUCCGCUGUGUUUCAUCCAAGCUUCCACUUCGUGCUCCAAUAAUGCUGAAAGUAUCUGUUGUAUGCUUUACCUUCUCCAGUAACAAAAGUGUAAUUCACUGGACAGAGACAAGAGAUAGUGGAUGGAUCCAGAAAAUAAGCAGAAGAUAGUCCAUAUAGAGCCUUCAGGUUCUGAAAAUUAUCAGGGAUAGAGCUAGAAAAAAACUCCAAAAACCUGAAUAGAGCUAGAAGAUAGCCAUUACAAAGCCAAGAAAGACCCAGUAGAAAAACAGGAAGGAGCCAAAAGAGUUUAUAUUUUUUAAUAUUCAAGCUCUUCUCUUAAGGUAUUAGAACUUCCUUUCAUUCCAAUGAAAACACUUUACAUUUUUGCUGCAAAUUAUUGAGAUUGUUUCACAGCUUUUAUCUUAAAAUAUUUCACGUUAUUUUUUCUUUACAUAUACAAUACAUAGGAUGAACAGCACGAUCCACUCUGCUGGAUUCUGCCCAAAUCUGCUCAAAAUGCAUGCAAACAUCUCGCUUUAUCCAUACUCCUGCAGUUGUAUUGUUCUGGAUUCAUAGUGAAAUGUAUUAGAUGUUCUGCACUGUUAUUGUUAUGUAUUUAAUAUAAAGUGAAAUACACAUUUAAAAAAAGUCAGAAAAGAAAAGGGACUCUCUUAAGGAAAAAGGUUCUGAACCAGUGAGAGUUCUUCAUAUGCACAUAAACAUGGUAAAUUAUUUAAAGUUGUGACCAGAUGGUGUCGCCCUCUGCACACAUUUAACGCUUUGCAUUUUAUUUAUUUAUUUUACCUUUUAUACCACACUACAAGUCUGACAUUUAUUAAUGAGACGACUGGAAAUUACACUGCAGAUUUAAACACAGCUCAAGUCUUUCACAGCCAGAAAUAUUUCUCUGUGUCACCUUGUCUAUUAUCUUGCUUUUUUUCACAGCUAGAAAUAUUCAAGCAGAAAAAUCAGUGCCUGUUAAAUCAAAGGGAAGGCAAUCAUCUAAGACAACAUUUGUGAAGCGGAUAAGAUCAACUCGGCGUACAAGACACAUCAAUCCUGUGAUUUUUGGUCAUAAUCCAGGCUCUAUGUUCACAUAGAGAAGGAUAUUACAUUGUUUUGGGGCCUAUGUCGGUUAAAAGCCAGCGGAAGGGUGUAUUAGUCUGGGAAAUAUCUCAUAAAGUUGUAAAUUAACACGAAAGAAACUGAUACCUUUUUAAAAAAGAAGUGUUUGAAGCUUGUUCUCCCCCUGCUCUCCUACGUGAUGUCCGGCUGGCGUUACUUCACCGGAUGGGUGACUCUCCUGACCUUCAUCUGUCCUUCCUGUUUUCUCGCAUCACAAGUCAGAUAAACAUUCAUGUAACUAUGAAACAAUAACAUCACUAUAUUGCAAAUCCAGUAUGCCAAAAAACAAAAGGUAUCUGUAAUGUUUGUAGAAUAAUGUAUUUGUGUAGCAACCUUUCAAACACUUUGGAAGUGGACAAUGCCAAACUUAUAUAAUACAGCAUCUCUGUAAAGCUAUAUAAUAAUAUAGACGGUUUAUUCUUAACAGGUCCAACAUUACACAUUGCAAACUCAAAGCUUAUUACGUUUAUGUCAGGAUCUAGCCUGUAGUUUCAGCUAGUUUUAAUUGUGUCAGCUAUGUUAUUUAGUUUUUAUCCUGUAUAACUUAUAAAGUAACGUUAAAAUAUAUCUAAAUGUUGUUUCAAGAGUACAUAUUAACAGAACCGAAGUCCCGUUUUUAUCAUACGUUUCAACCUCCUCAUAUUUUUCUCAGCCAGGUUUGAUUUUGAUACUAAAAGCCUGGGGAUGCAAGUCCUAUUUUAGCCAAAUAACUAUUAACUAGUUUAGUUUGAUUGAACUGCUGGUCUCUGUUUGAGUCUGACACAUGUUCCUUGUCUCCGCAGACCACGGUGCGCCUGUAUCCGUUCCAGAUCCACAGCAUCGCUCUCUCCUCCUUCGCCUCCAUCAUGGGACCCUUCGGAUGAUUCUUUGCCAGCGGCUUCAAGAGAGCCUUCAAGAUCAAAGAUUUUGCCAACACGAUCCCGGGUCACGGUGGCAUUAUGGACCGGUUCGACUGCCAGUACCUCAUGGUCACAUUUGUUAACGUCUACAUUGCCAGCUUCAUCAGGGGCCCAAACCCCAGCAAGGUGAUCCAGCAGCUCCUGACGCUGCGCAUCGACCAGCAGCUCCACAUCUUCAACUCCUUGAAGGCUCACCUGACGGAGAAGGGUUUCCUGCCGGCGCUGGAGGACGUCAUG
Gymnodraco acuticeps is the source of this 2436-nucleotide long non-coding RNA. RefSeq lists it as uncharacterized. Lineage: Eukaryota; Metazoa; Chordata; Actinopteri; Perciformes; Bathydraconidae. The transcript has 3 exons. The record is from RefSeq and is a predicted model, not a curated record.